AUUGAACGCUGGCGGCAGGCUUAACACAUGCAAGUCGAGCGAGAGGCGGGCGGGGGCGUAAUGUGUGGGAAAAUGCCUGAUGGAGGGGGGUCACUACUGUAAACGGGAGCUAUUAUCGCAUACCCUCAGAUGUGCCCAGGAGGGAUUAGAUAGUGGGUGGGGUAAUGGCGCACCUAGGCGACGAGCCCUAGCGGGUCUGAGAGGAUGAUCAGCCAAACUGGAACUGAGACACGGUCCAGACUCCUACGGGAGGCAGCAGUGGGGAAUAUUGCACAAUGGGGGCAAGCCUGAUGCAGCCAUGCCGCGUGGGUGAAGAAGGCCUUCGGGUUGUAAAGCACUUUCAGCGAGGAGGCGUUACUCGCAUAAGAAGCACCGGCUAACUCCGUGCCAGCAGCCGCGGUAAUUC
RNAcentral lists this ribosomal RNA (406 nucleotides) under uncultured bacterium. Its description in RNAcentral is "partial 16S ribosomal RNA". It matches the Rfam family "Bacterial small subunit ribosomal RNA", at positions 29 to 526 of the family's 1533-position model. The record is from RNAcentral.